This 30-nucleotide non-coding RNA is filed under the name Mus musculus (house mouse). The record is from RNAcentral. Lineage: Eukaryota; Metazoa; Chordata; Mammalia; Rodentia; Muridae.
UGAACUCGCCUCCCAUUUGCUGGAGACAUC